UGGAAAGUUUGAUCCUGGCUCAGGACGAACGCUGGCGGCGUGCUUAACACAUGCAAAUCGAACGGAAAGGCCCGCUUCGGUGGGUGCUCGAAUGGCGAACGGGUGAAUAACACGUGGGUGAUCUGCCCUGCACUUCGGGAUAAGCUUGGGAAACUGGGUCUAAUACCGGAUAGGACCAUGGGAUGCAUGUCCUGUGGUGGAAAGCCUUUUGCGGUGUGGGAUGGGCCCGCGGCCUAUCAGCUUGUUGGUGGGGUGAUGGCCUACCAAGGCGACGACGGGUAGCCGGCCUGAGAGGGUGUCCGGCCACACUGGGACUGAGAUACGGCCCAGACUCCUACGGGAGGCAGCAGUGGGGAAUAUUGCACAAUGGGCGCAAGCCUGAUGCAGCGACGCCGCGUGGGGGAUGACGGCCUUCGGGUUGUAAACCUCUUUCACCAUCGACGAAGCUGCCGGUUUUCCGGUGGGACGGUAGGGGAGAAGAAGCACCGGCCAACUAAU
This 498-nucleotide ribosomal RNA is filed under the name Mycobacterium celatum. RNAcentral describes it as "bacterial SSU rRNA". It matches the Rfam family "Bacterial small subunit ribosomal RNA", at positions 1 to 505 of the family's 1533-position model. Lineage: Bacteria; Bacillati; Actinomycetota; Actinomycetes; Mycobacteriales; Mycobacteriaceae. The record is from RNAcentral.